Molecule: long non-coding RNA, 659 nt
Organism: Dromaius novaehollandiae (emu)
Lineage: Eukaryota; Metazoa; Chordata; Aves; Casuariiformes; Dromaiidae
Exons: 3
Source: RefSeq, a predicted model, not a curated record
AAAAGCUUUUUUUUUUCCCCCAUCCUCCUUUCUUCAUAUCACCAUGCUCUGUGACUGAAUCACCAUCAACGGCUUCAGGAUUUUUGCUUUCUUUCUUGCUGUUCCUUUAUUUUAUUCUCCCUUUUGGACAAGAACUUCUGGGAAGCUGGAAAACUGUUUGACGUAGGGGUUUCAGGAGGCCAGGACCUUUUUUAGUUCACAGAGGGGAGAGCACGGAGGUAAGAAGGAGGUAGCUGCAUACUUCCCUCCCGGUAUUUGAGCGUAUGCCUGUAGAAAUACUUAAUCAUGACACUUGCCUUGUGGCUGAUAGUAAGCUGUUUCCGUGUUGUCUGACUGUAAUGUAAUCCAAACAAUGCACUGGUCCCGAAUCCUCAAAUCCGGCAGUAUCUUAUGCAAGAUGGCCUUCCUCCCCUCCCAGCCUCCUACUGGACUUACGUAGCAGGCUUACCCUGGAACAUACAUUGAUGAUUCUCAGAGCAUGGAAGCUGACUACAGAGAAAGGUGAACAUACAAUUUGCAGGGAGCCCAAGUGUCUGCCUGAGGAGUUUUUGGCGCUCUGUUCCUUAGCUCUGGAUGGAUUUGAUGUCGUUUAUUUUGGACCGAAGCAGUGGGUUCCCCUGGAUGUCAGUGGAGAACAAGAGGUUCCAAACUUGCACACU